UACCAGCACCCCGAGUGGUCGGGACGAUUAUUGGGCCUAAAGCAUCCGUAGCCGGUUCUACAAGUCUUCCGUUAAAUCCACCUGCUUAACAGAUGGGCUGCGGAGGAUACUAUAGAGCUAGGAGGCGGGAGAGGCAGGCGGUACUUAGUGGGUAGGGGUAAAAUCCGUUGAUCCAUUGAAGACCACCAGUGGCGAAGGCGGCUUGCCAGAACGCACUCGACGGUGAGGGAUGAAAGCUGGGGGAGCAAACCGG
RNAcentral lists this ribosomal RNA (253 nucleotides) under uncultured bacterium. Its description in RNAcentral is "partial 16S ribosomal RNA". It matches the Rfam family "Archaeal small subunit ribosomal RNA", at positions 474 to 727 of the family's 1478-position model. The record is from RNAcentral.